Non-coding RNA from Homo sapiens (human), 148 nucleotides. It matches the Rfam family "Metazoan signal recognition particle RNA". Rfam says of the family: The signal recognition particle (SRP) is a universally conserved ribonucleoprotein. It is involved in the co-translational targeting of proteins to membranes. Lineage: Eukaryota; Metazoa; Chordata; Mammalia; Primates; Hominidae. The record is from Rfam.
GCUGGGCGCGGUGGCGCAUGCCUGUAAUCCCAACACUUUGGGAGGCCGAUGCUGGAGGAUCACUUGAGACCAGGAGUUCAAGGUUGCAGUGAGCUAUGAUCAUACCACUACACCCUAGCCUGGGCAACACAGUGAGACUGAGACUCUA